GAUGAAGAACGCAGCGAAAUGCGAUAAGUAAUGUGAAUUGCAGAAUUCAGUGAAUCAUCGAAUCUUUGAACGCACAUUGCGCCCUCUGGUAUUCCGGGGGCAUGCCUGUUCGAGCGUCAUUACAACCCUCAAGCUUUGCUUGGUAUUGGACAUUGCCAGUUUCUGGCAGGUCUUAAAAUCAGUGGCGGUGCCAUUUGGCUUCAAGCGUAGUAAUUCUUCUCGCUUUGGAGAUCCAAGUGGUUACUUGCCAAUAACCCCCAAUUUUUUCAGGUUGACCUCGGAUCAGGUAGGGAUACCCGCUGAACUUAAGCAUAUCAAUAAGCGGAGGA
RNAcentral lists this unclassified non-coding RNA (329 nucleotides) under soil metagenome. RNAcentral describes it as "partial contains 5.8S ribosomal RNA, internal transcribed spacer 2, and large subunit ribosomal RNA". The stretch from base 1 to 119 matches the Rfam family "5.8S ribosomal RNA", at positions 35 to 154 of the family's 154-position model. The record is from RNAcentral.